AUACGUAGGGGGCAAGCGUUGUCCGGAAUCAUUGGGCGUAAAGGGCGCGUAGGCGGAUUUUUAAGUCUGGUGUGAAAACCUAGGGCUCAACCCUGGGACUGCAUCGGAAACUGGAGAUCUUGAGGACAGGAGAGGAAAGUGGAAUUCCACGUGUAGCGGUGAAAUGCGUAGAUAUGUGGAGGAACACCAGUGGCGAAGGCGACUUUCUGGACUGUAACUGACGCUGAGGCGCGAAAGCGUGGGGAGCAAACAGGAUUAGAUACCCUGGUAGUCCACGCCGUAAACGAUGAGUGCUAGGUGUAGAGGGUAUCGACCCCCUCUGUGCCGCAGUUAACACAAUAAGCACUCCGCCUGGGGAGUACGGCCGCAAGGUUGAA
Molecule: ribosomal RNA, 377 nt
Filed under: uncultured bacterium
Lineage: Bacteria
Description: bacterial SSU rRNA
Rfam family: Bacterial small subunit ribosomal RNA
Source: RNAcentral